Molecule: small RNA, 462 nt
Filed under: Cryptococcus neoformans H99
Lineage: Eukaryota; Fungi; Basidiomycota; Tremellomycetes; Tremellales; Cryptococcaceae
Description: Cryptococcus neoformans var. grubii H99 hypothetical RNA
Source: RNAcentral
CCCUGAUCCAAUCCCGUUCACCUGCAGACCAAUUUCUUUAACAUCGAGGACUGGACCAGAGUCCGGCCAGUCGUACGGUCAUGACCAAUCAUGUCGUUACCUACGGCAACUCCAGUGCGACGUGUGACGAAGUGUUAGAAUAUAUACAUAUAUAUAUGCGUGUAAGGAACGGUGAGGAGGAAGAGUUAGCAGAAGGAGAGAAGAAGAUGAGAGGGAGAAAGAACGGGAAAAUUGGGAUGAUAGGGGUUAGCGCAGGAGAAGAAGAAGAAGGGAGGAAGAGAGAAGGGGGGAAGGAACCGGAUCAAAAGAGGCCCUCGUCGGAAGGUCAGAAUCGGAGGAAGAGAGAGGAAAAGGGUGCCCAAGGGAUAGGAAAGAUGGGUCAGUUCGUGGACGUAAAAAAGAUAUAAAAAGCGUAGUCUUCAGAAUAGGUAAAUGCAUUGCCCCAAGCAGCGUGGUCUUCUC